GCUGAAAAACCAAAACAAAACUCUGAUUAUCUCCCUUUACACGAGAACCGGAAGUUUCUCAAGUGACACUGAAAACUGUAUCCUAAAAGCACUGCCCCCCCCCUCUGUGUCCCUUUUGCACCAGGAAACGACCCCCUCCUCUUCCACAAAUUUUUGCUAUUUUACUCAGUAUACAAACAUUUUGACCCCUGAACGUAACCUACCCCACAGAUGUGAUCCAGUCCGCCACAACAAACUCUUGAAAAAAGAAAAUACUCAAGAAAUCACACACCACAGAUGUGGUACUGUCCCCCGCCACCCCACAAACAAUUGAUCUGAUUCCCUCCACCCGCCAUGACUACCACUCCACUGACCCCCAACCCAAAUCUUCCCCUCCUAUCAAAUUUUACCUCCAAUUUGUAACUUAUAUAAAUAAAAAACUUCCCAAACAACUAGUCAUAUCAUAA
Molecule: long non-coding RNA, 446 nt
Organism: Octopus sinensis (East Asian common octopus)
Lineage: Eukaryota; Metazoa; Mollusca; Cephalopoda; Octopoda; Octopodidae
Exons: 2
Source: RefSeq, a predicted model, not a curated record